CAAUCCUGUCUGAACACUUGUGCUUUGCUUUGACAGGGCAAUGAGAAGGAUCUCAACACCGAAGUUUCAAACUAGAGGACUGAGAGAAUUCAUUUCUUCUUUUGGACAAGUGACAAAGAGCUGCUUGGUGGCCACUUCACAUGAUGGACCCAAGAGAGUUACAAGAAAAAAACCUGCUCACUAGGAAAUAAAGUUCCCUGAUGUUUAAGGAAGAUCAAAGAGUCUCCAAAUAUUAGCCAAGGAUAUCAGGUGGAACCUUGUGGCUCCUGCUGUCUAAGAGUUGAAGAAAAGAGAUUGUGCUCAAACCCAUUGCUUUUCCCCUUGUGUCUGCAGUUCCAAAUGAAAGACAUCACCUCCAUUUCCAGGCUUUGCCUCAUUAAAGCUGGAAACAAUUUUCCCGUU
Molecule: long non-coding RNA, 402 nt
Organism: Manacus vitellinus (golden-collared manakin)
Lineage: Eukaryota; Metazoa; Chordata; Aves; Passeriformes; Pipridae
Exons: 4
Source: RefSeq, a predicted model, not a curated record